Molecule: ribosomal RNA, 481 nt
Filed under: uncultured bacterium
Lineage: Bacteria
Description: bacterial SSU rRNA
Rfam family: Bacterial small subunit ribosomal RNA
Source: RNAcentral
CUACGGGAGGCAGCAGUGGGGAAUAUUGGACAAUGGGCGCAAGCCUGAUCCAGCCAUACCGCGUGGGUGAAGAAGGCCUUCGGGUUGUAAAGCCCUUUUGUUGGGAAAGAAAUCCAGCCGGCUAAUACCUGGUUGGGAUGACGGUACCCAAAGAAUAAGCACCGGCUAACUUCGUGCCAGCAGCCGCGGUAAUACGAAGGGUGCAAGCGUUACUCGGAAUUACUGGGCGUAAAGCGUGCGUAGGUGGUCGUUUAAGUCCGUUGUGAAAGCCCUGGGCUCAACCUGGGAACUGCAGUGGAUACUGGGCGACUAGAGUGUGGUAGAGGGUAGCGGAAUUCCUGGUGUAGCAGUGAAAUGCGUAGAGAUCAGGAGGAACAUCCAUGGCGAAGGCAGCUACCUGGACCAACACUGACACUGAGGCACGAAAGCGUGGGGAGCAAACAGGAUUAAGAUGCCCUGGUAGUACCACGCCCUGAACGAU